UACGUAGGGGGCUAGCGUUGUCCGGAUUUAUUGGGCGUAAAGAGCGUGUAGGCGGCCAGAUAGGUCUGCUGUGAAAACUCGAGGCUCAACCUCGAGCUGUCGGCGGAAACCAUUUGGCUAGAGUCCGGAAGAGGAGAGUGGAAUUCCUGGUGUAGCGGUGAAAUGCGCAGAUAUCAGGAGGAACACCAAUAGCGAAGGCAGCUCGCUGGGACGUUACUGACACUGAGGCGCGAAAGCGUGGGGAGCGAACAGG
This 253-nucleotide ribosomal RNA is filed under the name uncultured bacterium. Its description in RNAcentral is "partial 16S ribosomal RNA". It matches the Rfam family "Bacterial small subunit ribosomal RNA", at positions 524 to 776 of the family's 1533-position model. The record is from RNAcentral.